UUCAGAGUUAACAGCCUCCAGGGAGAGCUGGUGGCACCAGGGCAUUUCCCCACCUCUGGGGCUGCUCUGCCCCAUCGCUCAUGCUCCGUCCUCCCCCCACAGGCACCCCCCGGAGAGGAGAGCCCCGCCGCUGCCCCCCGAGGAGCUCCCAUGGCCAAGGGGGCCACGGGGCCACCUUGUCACCGCUGAGGACCCACCAGCCGUAGCCAAGCCCUCCCUGGGGCUCCCCGAGCCACCGCGGGCACCCCUGUCCCGCCGCAGCAGUGGGGUGGGCACCUCUGCCACCCAGCCCCGACCCCACAAGGACCACCGCAUCGUGUCACCGGAGACCGACAGUGGCUUCGUGGGCUCGGAGGCCAGCAGGGUGUCACCCCCCGUGCACACCCCCGAGCACCGCCCCCCCGGCACCGGGACCCCCGGCUCACUGGGACCCUCCAUCCCCGUCCCCACGACCCUCCGUCCUCUGCAGAAGAGAGAUGUGACCCCACUUCCCUCCAAGCCGGCGCCGAUGGGCAUCUUCCCGGCAGGCGGGGGGCAGGGGGGCACGGGGGGGCUCCGCCUGCCCCCCAGCACCCCCUCGCAGAGCAGUUCGCCCCCCCGCUGGGCUGGGAGCGGGGGCAGCGAGGUGGGACCCGACGGGGACGGCAGUAAGUUUCGGGGAGGGAGGUGUCCCUGGGGAGAGAGAUUUUGGGGGUGGAGGGGGUGUCUGGGGGUGGAAGGGGCUCUGGUUUGUGGUGUCCCCCCCAUUCCUCUGGGGAUGCUGGACUGGGGGUGCCUCCCUCCUGCUGGCUCUGCUCUCCCCGGUCUCUCCUGGGGUGGGGGACACCCCCCAGCUCAUUGUGCCCCCCCCACACCCCUCUUUCUCCCCAGCUCACAUGGACUCGGAGGUGGAAGGCAG
This 898-nucleotide long non-coding RNA is filed under the name Calidris pygmaea (Spoon-billed sandpiper). RNAcentral describes it as "lncRNA (ENSCPGG00000013022.1)". Lineage: Eukaryota; Metazoa; Chordata; Aves; Charadriiformes; Scolopacidae. The record is from RNAcentral.